Molecule: ribosomal RNA, 1469 nt
Filed under: metagenome
Description: bacterial SSU rRNA
Rfam family: Bacterial small subunit ribosomal RNA
Source: RNAcentral
AGAGUUUGAUCCUGGCUCAGGACGAACGCUGGCGGCACGCUUAACACAUGCAAGUCGAACGAGAGAAGAGGAGCUUGCUUUUCUGAUCUAGUGGCGGACGGGUGAGUAACACGUGAGCAAUCUGCCUUUCAGAGGGGGAUACCGAUUGGAAACGAUCGUUAAUACCGCAUAACAUAAUUGAACCGCAUGAUUUGAUUAUCAAAGAUUUAUCGCUGAAAGAUGAGCUCGCGUCUGAUUAGCUAGUUGGUAAGGUAACGGCUUACCAAGGCGACGAUCAGUAGCCGGACUGAGAGGUUGAUCGGCCACAUUGGGACUGAGACACGGCCCAGACUCCUACGGGAGGCAGCAGUGGGGAAUAUGCACAAUGGAGGAAACUCUGAUGCAGCGAUGCCGCGUGAGGGAAGAAGGUUUUAGGAUUGUAAACCUCUGUCUUCAGGGACGAAAAAAGACGGUACCUGAGGAGGAAGCUCCGGCUAACUACGUGCCAGCAGCCGCGGUAAUACGUAGGGAGCGAGCGUUGUCCGGAAUUACUGGGUGUAAAGGGAGCGUAGGCGGGAUCGCAAGUCAGAUGUGAAAACUAUGGGCUUAACCCAUAAACUGCAUUUGAAACUGUGGUUCUUGAGUGAAGUAGAGGUAAGCGGAAUUCCUAGUGUAGCGGUGAAAUGCGUAGAUAUUAGGAGGAACAUCAGUGGCGAAGGCGGCUUACUGGGCUUUAACUGACGCUGAGGCUCGAAAGCGUGGGGAGCAAACAGGAUUAGAUACCCUGGUAGUCCACGCCGUAAACGAUGAUUACUAGGUGUGGGGGGACUGACCCCUUCCGUGCCGCAGCAAACGCAAUAAGUAAUCCACCUGGGGAGUACGACCGCAAGGUCGAAACUCAAAGGAAUUGACGGGGGCCCGCACAAGCAGUGGAGUAUGUGGAUUAAUUCGAAGCAACGCGAAGAACCUUACCAGGUCUUGACAUCGUAUGCAUAGCUCAGAGAUGAGUGAAAUCUCUUCGGAGACAUAUAGACAGGUGGUGCAUGGUUGUCGUCAGCUCGUGUCGUGAGAUGUUGGGUUAAGUCCCGCAACGAACGCAACCCUUACUGUUAGUUGCUACGCAAGAGCACUCUAGCAGGACUGCCGUUGACAAAACGGAGGAAGGUGGGGAUGACGUCAAAUCAUCAUGCCCCUUAUGACCUGGGCCUCACACGUACUACAAUGGCUGUCAACAGAGGGAAGCAAAGCCGCGAGGUGGAGCGAACCCCUAAAAGCAGUCUUAGUUCGGAUUGUAGGCUGCAACCCGCCUACAUGAAGUCGGAAUUGCUAGUAAUCGCAGAUCAGCAUGCUGCGGUGAAUACGUUCCCGGGCCUUGUACACACCGCCCGUCACGCCAUGGGAGUCGGUAACACCCGAAGCCUGUAGUCUAACCGCAAGGAGGACGCAGUCGAAGGUGGGAUUGAUGACUGGGGUGAAGUCGUAACAAGGUA